GACGAACGCUGGCGGCGUGCCUAAUACAUGCAAGUUGAGCGCUGACGGUUGGUACUUGUACCAACUGGAUGAGCAGCGAACGGGUGAGUAACGCGUGGGGAAUCUGCCUUUGAGCGGGGGACAACAUUUGGAAACGAAUGCUAAUACCGCAUAAAAACUUUAAACACAAGUUUUAAGUUUGAAAGAUGCAAUUGCAUCACUCAAAGAUGAUCCCGCGUUGUAUUAGCUAGUUGGUGAGGUAAAGGCUCACCAAGGCGAUGAUACAUAGCCGACCUGAGAGGGUGAUCGGCCACAUUGGGACUGAGACACGGCCCAAACUCCUACGGGAGGCAGCAGUAGGGAAUCUUCGGAAAUGGACGAAAGUCUGACCGAGCAACGCCGCGUGAGUGAAGAAGGUUGUCGGAUCGUAAAACUCUGUUGGUAGAGAAGAACGUUGGUGAGAGUGGAAAGCUCAUCAAGUGACGGUAACUACCCAGAAAGGGACGGCUAACUACGUG
This 497-nucleotide ribosomal RNA is filed under the name uncultured bacterium. RNAcentral describes it as "partial 16S ribosomal RNA". It matches the Rfam family "Bacterial small subunit ribosomal RNA", at positions 28 to 507 of the family's 1533-position model. The record is from RNAcentral.